Long non-coding RNA from Mus musculus (house mouse), 1722 nucleotides. RefSeq annotates it as predicted gene, 35203. The transcript has 2 exons. Lineage: Eukaryota; Metazoa; Chordata; Mammalia; Rodentia; Muridae. The record is from RefSeq and is a predicted model, not a curated record.
CACAGGCCAUAUCUCCAUGCUUAGUCACCAGGGAGUGGCUCUAUUUGAAAAGAUUACAAGGGUUAGAGGGUAUGGACUGGUUGGAGGAAGUGUCAUUGGUGGGGGAAUUCAAAGUUUCAAAUCCCAGACUAGUUCCAGGUGCUCUCUCCUCUCCCUCCCUCUCCCUCUUCCGCUCCCUCUCCUUCUCCCUUCCCUCUCCCUCCCCUUCUCACCCCCCCUCUCCAGGCUGCAUGAAUGCCGCUGUGCUCCCUGUCAGGAUAACAAACUCAACCUCUAAACCAUAAGCAAGACCCCAAUUAAAUGCUUUUUCUUUUAAUAGUUGGUCAUGGUGUCUCUUCUCAUCAACAGCACAGUGGCUAAGAUCACAGCCAACCAUAAGAAUGCAGGAAAGCGCCUGCUGUGGACAAGACAGGAGGACUGUGACCAUGCUGCCGCCUGCUCAGCUGCCACCAGCUCCCACCACACUGGAGGUAAUUCUGGCAGACAGUGGGGAGUGUGUUCCCCGAACGGCUAUGAAAUGGAAAUGGAGGCCUGCCAAAAAAACAAGGAGCAAACAUUCUGGUAAGUUCUCGGGGACCCAGUCUAUCUCAGUCAAGCCAGCCCCUACUCUCUCACAGUCUUCCUUUCUCCAUUGCUCAUAGUUACCAGGAGACAUGGCUGAUGCAGGGCAGGAAGCCAGGUAUGAAAGGCGGGGCCAAUCAGCAAACACACUUAGGGAAGUGUCAAUCUCUGCCAGGAUUAGCAUCCUGAUUUAAUGGUGAUGUAAGGAGGGUGAGACAAACAUUACCCAGGUUCACCAUUUUCUCUCCCUUGUUAAUCAAGAUCAUUAACGAGCCAACGCUCUUCAAUAUUCACUGAGUACAACACCGUUCAUUAGCUGCCAUUGGGCCACAUUUAGACCAGAAGGAGGAAAAAGCCAACAGAGAAGGAAGAGGCCUGUGAGUGUCUUGACAUACCUCUGGAGAAAGAUUGAAUAGCAAGUUGUUCAUGAAGAGUCUCUAAGAGUAGUAGAGACUAGAGGACUGGUGGAUACACAGGUCCCAGGAUGCACUAUCUCAGAAGGGUCCUAUCAGGGCGAGAUGGGGAAGGGCGGAAGCAGGAAGCCAGGGCGCACCUGAGAGGUGCGGGCUGCAGAGGGAGCGUCUCCCCAUGUAAGAGGAGCUUGUCUGUCUGUGUGGUACUAGAGGACUGGUGCUGAGAAUGGAGACAGUAAGGUGGCGAGAUAGCAGCUAACAUGCACCCAGAUGUCAAAGUGUCUGGAAUAGAGGAGCAUUUGGAGACCAUGGAAGAUGGAGACUGGGGAGGAUAUCUGGCAGGGACAGGUGGGGAACAGAAGUGAGGCCCCUUUCAGAGGCCAGAAGAGACAGCCCUGCGAUGGCAGACAAUAGAUUCAGCAAUCCACGGGUGAUGUUCUGAUAUCUCUUUACCCAUUCAGUUGUCACCGCACGCAUUGUGAUGACACAGUCACUGUACAGUCUCUUCAGGACCAGUGAUCCAGAGACAGAAAUACUUGUCGUGGCCACCAUACAAAGCACACUCCUGAAGAGCAACUGGAUCUGUCUUUACAGCCAGUGUGGGGACAGGCCCUAUAGAAAAGAGGGUCCUAGCCACGAGAUUUGUCCAGUCACCUUAAUAUUGAGAGGCAGUGAAGACAGCAGUAUCGAGAUUAUACUGUCCUCUGUUCUAGGUUACUCCAUGUUUAAUAAAACAGUGUUUUUUUUA